Molecule: long non-coding RNA, 840 nt
Organism: Triticum dicoccoides
Lineage: Eukaryota; Viridiplantae; Streptophyta; Magnoliopsida; Poales; Poaceae
Exons: 5
Source: RefSeq, a predicted model, not a curated record
UUCCGACCACGGCGGCGACGGCGAGGAGACGUCCAACGGCGGGCAACGACGACUUGAAGAUGCUCCGCUCCCCGGCCGGCAUGCCCUCUCCUCCGUCCGCUGGAACUGGAACUGGAAGCAAGCGCCACUCACCUCAACAGCUGUCUGUCUUCUCCACUGCCGGCGCUCCUCUGCUCUGCUCUCCACUGCCCGCCCCUGCUGCCCUUCACCUCCGCCUUUCCGUCCGGGAACGCAGCCCCCUCUGCCUUCCGCGGUCGACGCAACUCGGGUCAUCUCGCCCUCUCACCACGGCGACGGUGGCUCCCGCCCGGAUCUGAACCGGACACCAGCAGCUAGGUAGGCGGCACCGGCAGAAGGCAGGCAGGCAGCAUCCAUCACCGGCACGGCAGACCUCCGACGCACAGCAGCAGGUACCCAUCCCUGGCCUGCUGUGCUGUGCUGUGCUGUGCUGCAACUCAAUCCCCCAUUUACAGCAGCUAGGUACCAGGCAGAGGGAUCCGUCACCGGCAGGAAGGAAGGCAGGCAGGCGGCACCCCAUCACCGGCGUGCUUGCGCUAACGUGUUGCACAAUCGUUCAUCCCUGUGUCCGGCCAGGGGAUGGCUGAGGCUGCCCUCGGCAUGGCACAAUGGGUGGUGGAGAAGGCGCUAGGCCCCGUUGGAAAAUGUUCAGGGUGUUUGAAAAUGUUUAGAAUUUUUAAAAAGUUUUUGUACUCUCUCUGUCUUGAAUUACUUGUCACAGAAAUAGAUAAAAAUGGAUGUAUCUAGAACAAAAAUACGUUUAGAUACAUCCAUUUUUGCGAAAGUAAUUCCGGACGGAGGAAGUAUGUACAUAAUGCUAAU